This is a long non-coding RNA of Prunus persica (peach), 1182 nucleotides long. RefSeq lists it as uncharacterized. The transcript is spliced from 3 exons. The record is from RefSeq and is a predicted model, not a curated record. Lineage: Eukaryota; Viridiplantae; Streptophyta; Magnoliopsida; Rosales; Rosaceae.
CUAGCACAACAGAAAUAUAAAAUCGUGGAAGUUGGUGGUGACCACUGUCCACAUCGUGGUUGUUCUUCUUAUCUGCUGCAUCAAUGCCCUUGAUCGGCCCGCACUCAGCCCUUUCUUCUUUCACCUCAUGUGAGCCACAUGUGAUUGAGGAAAGGAUAAAAAUCCACAUUCACACGACGCGUGAGUCACACUGGCGUCGCCUCCUCCUACUUUUCUGAUAAAUGAAUAGGUGUGACCUCAACCACCGCUGACUGCUGAUAGCAACCAUCUCAGGUUUACCUGCAACGAAAUCGAUGGCGAAUUUAAGCCCUAGGUUCUUGUUCAGCAACGGCGUCGUUUCACAGCCCGCCAACACUCCUCCGAUCACAAGCUUCCUCGCAACGCACCCACCCAGGUGGGUUCAAGGCUAAAAUUCAUAGGUUUGUUCAGUACUUGAACCUUUUUGGAGUUGCUAUUGGCCAUGGGUAAGUGUGAGUGUUUAAACCUGGGUAAGAACUUGGUGAUGGUGUUUGAUUGUAUGUAAUUCAGUGAUUUAAAUUAUGCUUUUGGCUAAUGGUUUUUUUUUCUUCUUUUCUUUUGGAUGUAGAUUGUGAUUAAAUAGGGAAAUAAAGAGGUCUAACUGUUUCUACAAGAAUGGUGGCACAACACCAUGCCAUGUAAACAGCAACCCUUAUAUGAUGGCUUUUGGCAUGGCAAAUUAUCUUCUCUAAUAUUCCAAACUUUCAGUUAUGGUGGCUCUCCGUUGUUGCUGCAGUCAUGUCCUUCACUUUACUCCUCAAUUGCCAAAGUUGCAGAAAUUGGAAGUAUCAAGGGAAGUAUGACUUGGAUAUGCAUUGGAACUGUGACACAAAUCCAAAAGAUUUGUAGGAGCUUCCAAGCGCUUGGUGACAAACCUUUUGCCUACUCUUACUCUCUGAAACUCAGAGCUGGUGCUUUCUUAGCUCUAGGAUAUGAAUACCAUUAUUAUUAACAUUGCUAUAACAUUUGUGCAAUUGCAUACAAUGUUUGUGCAAUUGCAUACAGUUUAUGCAAUUUUUGACCCCUUGUAUGCAAUCACCGAUAAUGUGUAUGUUUAAAGCAAUUUUUGACCCCUAUAUGCAAUUACCGAUAAUGUGGAUGUUUAAAGAAGCGGUCAACUCUAAUGCUAGAGUAAUCUCUCUCCUCUGUGAGAGUUUCCUCUUU